This 1530-nucleotide ribosomal RNA is filed under the name Salmonella enterica. RNAcentral's name for it is "bacterial SSU rRNA". It matches the Rfam family "Bacterial small subunit ribosomal RNA". The record is from RNAcentral. Lineage: Bacteria; Pseudomonadati; Pseudomonadota; Gammaproteobacteria; Enterobacterales; Enterobacteriaceae.
AGAGUUUGAUCAUGGCUCAGAUUGAACGCUGGCGGCAGGCCUAACACAUGCAAGUCGAACGGUAACAGGAAGCAGCUUGCUGCUUUGCUGACGAGUGGCGGACGGGUGAGUAAUGUCUGGGAAACUGCCUGAUGGAGGGGGAUAACUACUGGAAACGGUGGCUAAUACCGCAUAACGUCGCAAGACCAAAGAGGGGGACCUUCGGGCCUCUUGCCAUCAGAUGUGCCCAGAUGGGAUUAGCUAGUUGGUGAGGUAACGGCUCACCAAGGCGACGAUCCCUAGCUGGUCUGAGAGGAUGACCAGCCACACUGGAACUGAGACACGGUCCAGACUCCUACGGGAGGCAGCAGUGGGGAAUAUUGCACAAUGGGCGCAAGCCUGAUGCAGCCAUGCCGCGUGUAUGAAGAAGGCCUUCGGGUUGUAAAGUACUUUCAGCGGGGAGGAAGGUGUUGUGGUUAAUAACCACAGCAAUUGACGUUACCCGCAGAAGAAGCACCGGCUAACUCCGUGCCAGCAGCCGCGGUAAUACGGAGGGUGCAAGCGUUAAUCGGAAUUACUGGGCGUAAAGCGCACGCAGGCGGUCUGUCAAGUCGGAUGUGAAAUCCCCGGGCUCAACCUGGGAACUGCAUUCGAAACUGGCAGGCUUGAGUCUUGUAGAGGGGGGUAGAAUUCCAGGUGUAGCGGUGAAAUGCGUAGAGAUCUGGAGGAAUACCGGUGGCGAAGGCGGCCCCCUGGACAAAGACUGACGCUCAGGUGCGAAAGCGUGGGGAGCAAACAGGAUUAGAUACCCUGGUAGUCCACGCCGUAAACGAUGUCUACUUGGAGGUUGUGCCCUUGAGGCGUGGCUUCCGGAGCUAACGCGUUAAGUAGACCGCCUGGGGAGUACGGCCGCAAGGUUAAAACUCAAAUGAAUUGACGGGGGCCCGCACAAGCGGUGGAGCAUGUGGUUUAAUUCGAUGCAACGCGAAGAACCUUACCUGGUCUUGACAUCCACGGAAGUUUUCAGAGAUGAGAAUGUGCCUUCGGGAACCGUGAGACAGGUGCUGCAUGGCUGUCGUCAGCUCGUGUUGUGAAAUGUUGGGUUAAGUCCCGCAACGAGCGCAACCCUUAUCCUUUGUUGCCAGCGGUCCGGCCGGGAACUCAAAGGAGACUGCCAGUGAUAAACUGGAGGAAGGUGGGGAUGACGUCAAGUCAUCAUGGCCCUUACGACCAGGGCUACACACGUGCUACAAUGGCGCAUACAAAGAGAAGCGACCUCGCGAGAGCAAGCGGACCUCAUAAAGUGCGUCGUAGUCCGGAUUGGAGUCUGCAACUCGACUCCAUGAAGUCGGAAUCGCUAGUAAUCGUGGAUCAGAAUGCCACGGUGAAUACGUUCCCGGGCCUUGUACACACCGCCCGUCACACCAUGGGAGUGGGUUGCAAAAGAAGUAGGUAGCUUAACCUUCGGGAGGGCGCUUACCACUUUGUGAUUCAUGACUGGGGUGAAGUCGUAACAAGGUAACCGUAGGGGAACCUGCGGUUGGAUCACCU